Mus caroli (Ryukyu mouse) is the source of this 1645-nucleotide non-coding RNA. Lineage: Eukaryota; Metazoa; Chordata; Mammalia; Rodentia; Muridae. The record is from RefSeq and is a predicted model, not a curated record.
GCGGCCGUGCACGCGCUCUGCUGGGCACGUGGGGCCCCUUCGUCCCCGGCGUCCGGGCGCCUGGUCCCAGCCCCCACCUUGGCCUCCGUCCGGCGGCUGCGUCCGCGACGCAGAGAGACUCGAGCGAGAGUCACCCGCCCGGCCGAGGGCCGCUCGGGCUGGUGGCGUUAGGAACGGGGGCCGCUGGAAUGGCGUCCAUUUACAUAAUGCUUUGUUUGCACUUGGUCGGCUCCGGUUAGGGAAGCCCUCGGAGGCGCUACCUCCUGCCCUCGUGUUUUAUGUCCCACGACAGUUCCCGAGACCUUAGAGGAGCGGUGCGCAUUGACGGGGUGCCGGCAUGGCCCCCCGCAUGUCCGCGCUGGCUCGCCCGCCGCCUGGACCACGCUCUCGGGAGGCGGCCAAGCCUGGGCGCCGCCGCCAUCUUGGGAGGUCGCCCUGACCGAGGCCUCCCGCCGGGAAAUGGCCCUCGAGACGCUGGAGAGCGCCUUGUGCUUUCUUUGCCGGCUCCUCGUGCCGCCGCCAUAGUCAGCCUGGAGGAGGUCGUGUGAAGGAACGUGUUGUUUAAUACUUGACCGAAAGGACCAGCGUGGCGUUCCUCACCCCACCCCCACCCCCGGAGCGGGGAGGGCUGGCGGCCAUGUUUCCCAACAAAAUGGCGACACGUGUCGCCAUCGAGAAAUUGGGCAGGGUCUGAAAGCUCUAGAACGUGCCUUUCAUCAGUCUCAGAAUUUCCCAUAGGAUGAAACAGCUAGAGGUGCUUUUGGAAGAAAGUUAAUGCCCUUGUUGGGCCGAAAAAUAAAUAAAAUGCAGGCCGGACACGGGAUUUUUUUAAAAACUAAGUAAUGGCAGGCAAGUGUGUGCCUGUGCAUGUGUGUGUGCGCGCGCGUUGUGUGCACAGUAUCUAACCAAGUACCCAAGCAUCUAGAGAAAUUUUCUAGUUUUUUCUAGACGUUGUACAGGUGGUGCUGUAACUGAUUAAAGAUUGUUAUGGCUAAGAAGCCAUAGAAUGGCUAUGUCUCACUAUUCAACUGUCCAGUGAUCGUAAAGUUCACAGUUAUGUCCACUUUUCCACCUUUAUAGUCAAGAGGAACAGAUUGUGGUUGUGGGUGUGCCACAGCAGAUUCCAUUCUAAACAUCCCAUGCAAUAUAAUUAUUUUUAAUUGAAAAUUCCAUGAAGUGGGUAUUUAUUUCUCUUUUUUUUUCCCCAACAGAGCAAGACAAUCCCAGAGAGAUGAAGUGACUGACCCAAGGUUACACAGAGUGGAAUCUGUAUCUUCUGAUUUCUCUACUGGCCUGCACUCCAUGUUCUGAGGAGGAAUCCUUGAAGCUACUGAGAUAAUGGAACAAUGGAGUAGAUAGUCCAUUAUAACUCAUCUGGGAUUCUUCUCAUCUUCAAGUGACCACAGGUGGAAACAGUCUGGUAACACCACGCUUCCGAAGGUGAUUGUGGAGCUAGAUUGCUUAACCUUGGGGCUGCAGAAGUGUUAAGAGUGCCUGCUUGUCUUCGAGAGGACCGGAGUUCAAUUCCCAGCAUCCAUACCUGGAAGCUACAGGGAAUUCAACACUCUCUUCCUGACUUCCUCAACCAGCCCCACACAUAUGGCUUAUAAACACACAGGGAAAAAAGUAAAGGAAAUCUUAAAAA